Molecule: long non-coding RNA, 2758 nt
Organism: Homo sapiens (human)
Lineage: Eukaryota; Metazoa; Chordata; Mammalia; Primates; Hominidae
Exons: 4
Source: RefSeq, a predicted model, not a curated record
GGCAUGCCCAGAAGGGAGCAGGCAGGGAUGUGGCCGAGAGCUUCAAACGCCAGGCUGGCUCGGGGGACACAGGUCCAGGACACUGGGGAUGCCCCCUGUUUGGACUUUCCAAAGCCCUCCCAUGGAGGCGGCUACAUUUGAGCCACGAGACUUGAAUAAAACAGAAGUGGAUGCAGAGAGCCCCACUGGGGAGCUGGUGCCGGGCGCUGGACGGGCGCUCGUAGGAUGGACGGACAUGCCACAUUUCCUAAGGUGGAGAGGGUGGCCAGGAGACCGCUGGGCCGUCAUGCCACGGCGCAAGGAGUCACCACAGCCGUCACCCAACAAGGGCUCAUGGCCACCACCUGCGUGCUCACGGCCACCACCUGCGUGCUCGUGACACUCUGGAUCCCGAAGCUAGAGCAGACAGUGCCCUGCCGGCGCCCUGAGCAGUCGGGGACUUCAUGUGGUUCCCUUUGGGCAGAACAGGAGGCUGUCCCUUUACUUCAGAGGCCUGGACAGAGGCUCACUGCAGGAAGAUCCUUCUCGGUGCUCUGCAGAUAUCGACGACUCAUUGCAUCCUCACCGAGACCCUCUGCGGCUGAUGCUGCCAUCAGCCCAUUUUACUAGGACGGACCAGGCUCGGAGAGAUGAAGUCAUCUACCCAAGGUCACACCGCGAGUGUGCUGCGGGCCGGGAUCGGAACCACGACCUGGUGUUGCCCCCACAGGGCCAGGACUCGGCAGGACUCCAAAGUCUCCGCUUGUCAUCAACACGCUUGCCUCCUUUUAGGCCUCAAGGUACUUGCAAAGAGGCAGCAGGUCUGGGAUUCAAACCUGAGGCCGAACGGAGGCUGCAGGGGCAGGAGGCCCCGUGCCUGAGGAACACCCUGGGAGCUGGUGGUGUCCUCCCCUCCGUUCUCCAGGCCCCACCCCGGGUUGUGCGGGGGCAGCUGUGCAGGAGAUGGGACCUUUCCGGGCCCCACCCCGGAUUGUGCGGGGGCAGCUGUGCAGGUGAUGGGACCUCACGGGUGUCUGUUGAAUCCUGUGUGAGUGCUCCUGGCUGUGUGGCCUAGGGAGAGCCUCUUCCCCUCUCUGAGCCUCACUUUCCUUCCUCUGUACAUGUGGAGGAAGCCAGGUGACAGGAAGAUGACGCGGAGUUCCCCACGCCCUGCCUUGGCAAGCAAGGAAACCAGGCCAAGGCUCAUGGAGCAACGUGUGGCCGGGACCUGCUCCUGGCGCUGCCCCUGGCACAGACUCUACCCGAGAAAGCAGAAAGUGACAAGGACCCUCAGAGAAGAUGAGGGGGUCUCUGUGCUUGACUGGGCCCCCCAGGAUGCAGCUCGCCCAGGGUAGCCUUCAAAGGAAGGCCCCCAGAGGAAAUGCCUCUUUGGGUUCCCCCAGCCCCCGCUUAGGGGCUGGAGGAGAGCAAAGAUGGAAGUGGGACCCACUUCGAGGCUCGGAGGCCCCGUGGGCUACCAGCCCACGGCUGCGAACCACACAGGAAGAGGCCUGGCCGCAUCCCCUCGUCCCCAAGACCACUUGCUGACCCUGCUCCCCGCUCCAGCCGCAAGACGGCCCCGUCCAGACACACGGAGAGCUCGAAGUGCCCAUGAAAGAGAAACGAGGCCUCCAGCAUCCCUGAACUCUACAUCAGCUGCAAGGGGACCCCGGUCCCCGAGGACACCCACAUGUAUUUUCAAACAGCUCCCGAGGCCCAGCGCUGCCCGUGCAGAAGAAAGCAUGGAAUUUGGGGAGGGCUCCCGAGGCCUGGCCGCCCAGCACAAGGGGGUCCCUGGGGCACCUGCUGUCCCCACCCUGGCUAUCCUCCUGUGGCCUACACAAGUAUCCUAACCCCUCCCUGGCUCAGAACAGCACUGAGGUCCUCCUGCUGGGGUGGGUGGGGUCAGUCUGGGUCCCAGUCCCUUCCCUAUGGCCCUGGCUCAGAGGCAGGUGGGCAGCGGGUGCGGAAUCUGACGAGAAGGGCUCUGACGCCCGGAGGGGAGGAAUCUCAUACAGAGGACCAACUCUGUCCUCACGGAUUCUUCCGCGGCCCUGAGAUCCUGCGCUUCUCUAUCUUACGAGUGGGGAAACAGAGGCACAGAGAGGCUGAGGAGGGGGAGAGCCAGGUGUGGAUCCAGGUGACCUGGCCCAGCUACCCCUUCCCCACUGGCCACAGAGGGCACCUGCAGCCUGGGAACCCCGAGGGGAGGCACCUGCCCUCCUGGCCUCCCUCUGUGGCUUGGGCCUCUGCCAAGUGUCCUUCUCACUCCCCCUGCCCAUGACUGACGGUGGCAUCUUCUAAUUGUCCCCUCACCCCAGAGCAGGGGCUUUGCCUGUCCUUCCCACCCUCGAUGGCUCAGGCACUGGCUCUGGACACAGUGCGCCCCUCUCUGGGCAUGCCUGAGUCUGCCCUGAUGUUGGGUUUCCCUCUAUGCGGUUUUCCCCAAAGGGUCUGGGCAUGCAGGAACUGGUCAGAUGUCUAAAGGAAGAGGACAGGGAGAGAGUGCCAGUUCCUCCCCCAGCCCUGGCUGCAGCCUCAUCUGCCUCCCAAGCUCCCACUCAUCAAGAAAGUUCCCAGACCUGCCAGACGUGGUGACUCACACCUGUCAUCCCAGCACUUUGGGAGGCCAAGGUAGGCAAACCACUUGAGGUCAGGAGUUCAGGAUCAGCCUGGCCAACAUGGUGAAACCCCGUCUCUACUAAAAAUGCAAAAAUUAGCCGAGCGUAGUGGUGCGUGCCUAUAAUCCCAGCUACUUAGGAGGCUGAGGCCGGAGAAU